AACGAACGCUGGCGGCAUGCCUAACACAUGCAAGUCGAACGAGACCUUCGGGUCUAGUGGCGCACGGGUGCGUAACGCGUGGGAACCUGCCCUUAGGUUCGGAAUAACUCUCCGACAGGGGUGCUAACACCGGAUAAUGUCUUCGGACCAAAGAUUUAUCGCCCUUGGUUGGGCCCGCGUUGGAUUAGCUCGUUGGUAGGGUAAAAGCCUACCAAGGCGACGAUCCAUAGCUGGGCUGAGAGGAUGAUCAGCGACACUGGGACUGAGACACGGCCCAGACUCCUACGGGAGGCGGCAGUGGGGAAUAUUGGACAAUGGGCGAAAGCCUGAUCCAGCAAUGCCGGGUGAGUGAUGAAGGCCUUAGGGUUGUAAAGCUCUUUUACCCGGGAUGAUAAUGACAGUACCGGGAGAAUAAGCUCCGGCUAACUCCGUG
Molecule: ribosomal RNA, 433 nt
Filed under: uncultured bacterium
Lineage: Bacteria
Description: partial 16S ribosomal RNA
Rfam family: Bacterial small subunit ribosomal RNA
Source: RNAcentral